UACAGAGGUCUCAAGCGUUGUUCGGAUUCAUUGGGCGUAAAGGGUGCGUAGGUGGCGGGGUAAGUCUGGUGUGAAAUCUCGGGGCUCAACCCCGAAACUGCACUGGAUACUGCCUUGCUCGAGUACUGGAGAGGAGAUUGGAAUUUACGGUGUAGCAGUGAAAUGCGUAGAUAUCGUAAGGAAGACCAGUGGCGAAGGCGAAUCUCUGGACAGUUACUGACACUGAGGCGCGAAAGCGUGGGGAGCAAACAGG
This 253-nucleotide ribosomal RNA is filed under the name uncultured bacterium. RNAcentral's name for it is "partial 16S ribosomal RNA". It matches the Rfam family "Bacterial small subunit ribosomal RNA", at positions 524 to 776 of the family's 1533-position model. The record is from RNAcentral.